UACGGAGGGGGCUAGCGUUGUUCGGAUUUACUGGGCGUAAAGCGCACGUAGGCGGCGUAUCAAGUCAGAGGUGAAAGGCCUGGGCUCAACCUAGGAACGGCCUUUGAUACUGGUAUGCUUGAGUUCGGAAGAGGGAGGUAGAAUUUCAGGUGUAGCGGUGAAAUGCGUAGAGAUCUGAAGGAAUACCAGUGGCGAAGGCGGCCUCCUGGCCUAAUAUUGACGCUGAGGUGCGAAAGCGUGGGGAGCAAACAGGAUUAGAUACCCGCGUAGUCC
This 273-nucleotide ribosomal RNA is filed under the name uncultured bacterium. Its description in RNAcentral is "partial 16S ribosomal RNA". It matches the Rfam family "Bacterial small subunit ribosomal RNA", at positions 524 to 796 of the family's 1533-position model. The record is from RNAcentral.